RNAcentral lists this transfer RNA (89 nucleotides) under Erwinia aphidicola. RNAcentral describes it as "tRNA-Ser". The record is from RNAcentral. Lineage: Bacteria; Pseudomonadati; Pseudomonadota; Gammaproteobacteria; Enterobacterales; Erwiniaceae.
GCGAGUAACUGCUGCAUGACGCCUCCUUUUCGAACGAGGGGGGAUCAUGCCUGCUGCGGCAUCCAGGUUCAACCCCUGGUUAUCCGUGC